AGAGAAUUUCCAUGCAGGGAAACAGUUCGUUUUCUCCUUCCCACACCCAUACUUCAAAGUCAUACAAGAACUCCUUCAGAAAUUGCUCUCAGGUAGGUAUAGGUCAUAAGAAGACUCUUCUCUCUCCCUGUCAAUAGAUGGUCAGCGGAGCUGUUAAGGGCUAACAUUUUCUGUUUGGAAAAAAAAAAAAAGGCAAACACCAAACAGCACAAGCAGAUGUCAUUCCUGGGGACUCUCUCCUGUGGAUGCACUCGGAAUAGCCAUCCUCUGAGCGAUCUCAACAGCAGCUGGAAAUCACAGGGCAGAAACUGUGUGAACAGUUUCCUUUAGUCUCCUUUAACAGCCGUCUCCCAGUGCAUCUCCCCACAGUCCCCCCACCCAGCAGUGGCACUGCAUGGGGUCGGUCCAGUCUCCUUGAACUGUUUUCCUGAGGGCUGAGCUUUUUCCCUCUUUUCUGUGAAAGUUCAGUCCAUCUCAAGAGGCUGGAGAGAAUUCAAGAUAAACAAAAACUCCAUAUUCUGUGAGUUUUAAACAUACCCUUUGUUUGUUACCAGUUCUGUUACUAUUUUCCCCCUGGAGCUUAGAAUUUCACAAUACCAAGAUUUUCAGGACCCAUUUCUUUUCCUGUUCCUAUGGCACAGUUUGCUCAUUGGGACUGCCAGAACUGCCAGGGACAUUGAGAAAGGAACAGCAGAAGGAGGUCAGCUCCAAAGGGCACUACCAGGGCUAGAAAACACCAACCACCCCUCCCAGGCAAGCAGUAGCCUUCCAGAGAGGCAAUGUAAGAUCUCAGGAUGGCACUGGUAACAGGAGUAAAUGAAUCAGAGAGUGAAUGAUCCUUCUGGUGUGAGUAAGCAAGAUAGAACAAUGAUUUGAAGGUGUUUUUUUUUUUUUUUUUUUUUUUUUUUUUUUUUUUUUUUCCCAAGAGAAGGGUUCUGUACAUAGGAUGGGUUCAAGGCAGAGGCUCGCAGUCAGCAUUUGACAUCUUGAGUCUGGCCUUUCCAUCGCUGUUUCAAGGCACCAAAGCUCCGUACUCUGCCCGAUGGAGAGGCAGGUCCUGGGCACGUCCAUCCCAGGACACCUUGAGAACAAUUCCUGUUUUGCAGAGGCUGGAAGACAAAGCUGUUUCUGAGGACGUCCUGGACGUCAGCGGGGCCGCUCAGCCGCCGGUGGCACUGCCACU
This 1183-nucleotide long non-coding RNA is filed under the name Anas platyrhynchos platyrhynchos (common mallard). RNAcentral's name for it is "lncRNA (ENSAPLG00000018648.1)". The record is from RNAcentral. Lineage: Eukaryota; Metazoa; Chordata; Aves; Anseriformes; Anatidae.